Molecule: long non-coding RNA, 891 nt
Organism: Gymnogyps californianus (California condor)
Lineage: Eukaryota; Metazoa; Chordata; Aves; Accipitriformes; Cathartidae
Exons: 3
Source: RefSeq, a predicted model, not a curated record
CUUCUCCUGCAGCUGCUGCCUCCGACGGGGCAUCCUGAGCAGCCCAGGCCCUGCUCUGUCCUCAGGACUGUCGGUGUCCGUCGGUGGUUGCCCGCUCUCCUCAGGCCCUGCGGCUACCGGCUCAAUGCCUCAGGCAGCCACCAGCUCCUGCCGCUGCUCCUGGGGGUAUGGAGAAAUACAGCUCUGGUAGAUGCUCUCUACAGAAAACAGCUAUUCACUCGAAGCGUGCACUGGGCAUAGACUUAAGCAACAAGGAUUUUAUGAAGAAGCUGGACACAAACAACAGAACGGGAGCCUCCCAGGGUACUCCAAGACUGAAGCCUGCAUGUUAUUUGAUGCCUACAUAUUACUGGGUACCCUCCCACAUCACCUCUGGAGGAUUCCAUAUCAGUUCCUAAGAAUUAUGCUGCAGAAUAAAAGUUGGUCAUGACUGGCAUCCUGUCUCUAGUCAACAAGCAAUACUGGACACUUCAGAGAAAGAUGCAGGCUGUCCUUAUAGUGGACCUAAUUACGGCCCUGGGAGGUAUUUCUUUGGGAAUUGUAGUUGGUGAUCAUUUCAUGUAAAUGGCCUUAGUGCUUUUGUGAUUUAUGCAUUACUUAUUACUGUGUCUAGUGUUAAUUUUUUGUGGUAAGAUUUUUUUUCCUGCUAAAUACUACUGUUUCAGAGUACUGUAAGUGUUCAGUAUUUUGCUAACACACAUUAAAGACUGGUCGCACAGUGAGACAUGACUGUGCAUUUGCAGUGAGGUCUAGAAGCAUCCUACAGUAUUUAUUGUGACGUAUUUUAUCCCCUGAAUUUCAAAAUCAGCUCAUCAGUUUAAUGCUAAGCUCUUGUUAAGUCUGGCCUUAAAGAGCUAUUAUGAUCAUGUCUCAGUGUAACACAGAUCUGAA